Ziziphus jujuba (common jujube) is the source of this 796-nucleotide long non-coding RNA. RefSeq lists it as uncharacterized. NCBI's taxonomy places the organism in Eukaryota, Viridiplantae, Streptophyta, Magnoliopsida, Rosales, Rhamnaceae. The transcript has 2 exons. The record is from RefSeq and is a predicted model, not a curated record.
CGUGGCCUUUGUCUCCAAGUAGAAAUCAAUGAGAAUUCCCAGAAAGACCUUGUUGUCUCAGGAAGAUCUCUUGCCUCUUCGGCCUGCCAAUGCAAUUACUAUGCUAACCAAACCCACAUACAUUGCGACUCUGACACCUUCCAUCUCGGGAUAAAAGAUGGAGGGAGCUAUGGGGUGUGUUUGGUUCACGGAAUUGGCCAGGAUGGGAUGGGACUAUGUCUUAAGUAUGUUGUUUGGUUUGCCAUUUUGAGUUUAGGACAACUUAACCUAAACAGUAAUUUUAUCCUGAUCGAUUGGGACUCAUGUGACCCGUCUCCCCCCCGGGUCAUUUUUGUCCCAAACUCGCCGAAGCAGCUCUAUACUCUCUCGCUAGUGUCUCUCGCCGAAGCAGAGCUCCUCACCGGAUCGCGUCUCUCUCUCGCCGGAUGUCUGCAUCUCUCCGAGCAACAAACACGGCCAGUGAGUAUUCACCUAAUAUAAAGAAGAUAAAGGUGCUGGACAAAAAGAAAGUGAGAAGAGCCAAGCUUUACUAUCUCAGGGACAAGAUGAAUGCACUUAAGAAGCAAUAGCAGCUUACUUAGACUGCAGGAUCAAAAAGAGCCUUCCAUGUUAAAGAAGAUGGUGGAAUGCUUUGCUUUUUGUCACAAAGUUCGCCACUGUCCUAGUAAUUUUUUUUUCUUUUUUUUUUUUUUCAUUUCGAUUUUUAUAUAAAUUAUUAUCCAUAGAGAAACCAUGGAAAAUUGUCAACCUUACUCUUUGUGGUGUUCAUGUAACAAGUAAAAUUCUUCUUUAUCCA